UGGGUAACCUGCCUCAAAGAGGGGAAUAGCCUCCCCGAAAGGGAGAUUAAUACCGCAUAAUAUGUUUAAGUCGCAUGACUUUAACAUCAAAGGAUUUUCUUUUAGAAUUUCCACUUUGAGAUGGACCCGCGGCGCAUUAGCUAGUUGGUGAGGUAACGGCUCACCAAGGCAACGAUGCGUAGCCGACCUGAGAGGGUGAUCGGCCACAUUGGAACUGAGACACGGUCCAGACCUCCGUAGGGAGG
RNAcentral lists this ribosomal RNA (245 nucleotides) under uncultured bacterium. RNAcentral describes it as "partial 16S ribosomal RNA". It matches the Rfam family "Bacterial small subunit ribosomal RNA", at positions 118 to 347 of the family's 1533-position model. The record is from RNAcentral.